Long non-coding RNA from Pseudophryne corroboree (corroboree frog), 1720 nucleotides. RefSeq lists it as uncharacterized. NCBI's taxonomy places the organism in Eukaryota, Metazoa, Chordata, Amphibia, Anura, Myobatrachidae. The transcript has 3 exons. The record is from RefSeq and is a predicted model, not a curated record.
GUGGAAUAGCUACCUGCGUGAUAGGCCAGGUUGUGUGGGGACCACUAGAGCCUAUCAAGAGUCUGCUAUGCUAUGACACGUACAAGUUUAGUAAGAGCCCCUCUGGCUUCAGAGUGUCUGGACGAAGGGAGAUUUUUGCAGCAGUAAGUGACAUGUGGACUACUGGUCCCAGCAAGGCUACAAAUUGUAGAACUUGGAUGAGGCUCAAGGUGGUACCAGUCCUGCAAUUAACCAAACUACAUACAUCUAUUCGCCAGAGGAGGAUUGGCCAUAGCAUCUACAGGGAAGAUUCCCGGUGGGCCGCCGCACCCGCGGGUCCUGUUUUGUUUGAGGACAUGUGGUCCUAUUUAUCGACAUAAUGAAUAAGAUGCCAAACAAUUUGCAUAUAUGAAAAGGUCUUUGCCACUUAGUCUGUGAUUGCAGAUGAUCUAGUGUAUACUCUGUCUGCCUGCUUGGCUGACAAGAUUGAGUGAAUAGUGAUUGGGAUACGGUUGGUGUAAUAAGCAAGAAACUAUAUCUUUCUAAAGAAUGAUAUAGUUUCCUAAAUUCUGAAGGUGUAUCAUAUAAUGUGCUCAUAAUAUUUAAUUUUAUUUCCUUUUAACUUCCCCCUGAUGCUGGACAUCCCCACUAUCUGGAAAGUCUUGGGGGGACGGUGCUGCUGCCAUGGCCCAUGGCUAGACCUUACACCUCUGGUGCUGCCCAUGUGGGGCCACUAGUACAAAUUUUUCCAGGGCCGCUUUUUGUUCCCAAUCCGCCCCUGUCUAUUCGCUUAUCUCAAAGUAUCUACCAACACGACCUCUCCACUCUGCACAAGAUCUGUGUCUCUCAUUCACACGCAUUACUCGCUCCCAUCCACGGCUACAGGACUUUUUUUUGGGCUGCACCCACUCUGUAGAACGCCCUUCCACAUAAAAUAAGACUUUCCUCUAGUCUCCAAACCUUCAGGCAAGCUUAUCAGAUUCCAGAACUGCCGACAUAACAUUCAUAAGCUUUCCAGUCUGUACAGCCCAUCUGUACAGUCCACACAGAUCCUCACAUAUUUUCUCUUCCUUCACUUUAUCAUCCUGCUGACCCUUAGCCAACAUUGCUGAUUGACCCUAUCAUACGGCCCACCAAAAAUCUCUGCAAUGUGGUGGACCAUUAUGCAUCAUUGUGUAUCAAUGUCUAUUUCCCUAUAGGGAAACAGGGCCUUCCUACAUCUAUAUGUGUCUGUUAUUACCCAUUCUUGUUUUAUUACUGGGUGAUCCCAAUUGUAAAGCGCAAUAGAAUAUGUUGACGCUAUAUAAGUACCUGUAAAUAAUGUGACAAGAUCACUGGAAUAGUGGUGGAAGGCAAGAAUAUUUGCAACAGGUUACGUCUUAGUUUUAAAACCCCAGGAAUAUUGUGUUGGUUCUGCUGAGAACUUUUGGUACGAACCAAAUAAGGGUCCUGGGGUUGGAUGUGAGAAGAGAGGGCGGGUUCUCCAUCCUUUUAGGCCCAGUUCAAGUAUUUGUACUUUUAGCCUCACAGGAGACUAAUUAGGGCAUUCAGCUAUAUGGGUGUGUCACACUGCUUGGGGAAAAGGAGAGACUAUGGAGUCUCUGAAAGAGAAACCUGCUCUUGAAAUCCAGUGAGCUGGGCCUGGUAAAAACCUAUUGUUUUGUUUUAUUAGUGAGUUAGUAUUAUCCUGUGUAUAGUUAACGCCGGAAGGCAAGGUAUUUGUUUUGAUGUUUAUUUCUUU